RNAcentral lists this ribosomal RNA (540 nucleotides) under uncultured bacterium. RNAcentral's name for it is "partial 16S ribosomal RNA". It matches the Rfam family "Bacterial small subunit ribosomal RNA", at positions 355 to 887 of the family's 1533-position model. The record is from RNAcentral.
UGGGGAAUUUUGGACAAUGGGGGAAACCCUGAUCCAGCCAUCCCGCGUGUGCGAUGAAGGCCUUCGGGUUGUAAAGCACUUUUGGCAGGAAAGAAACGUCGCGGGUUAAUACCCCGCGGAACUGACGGUACCUGCAGAAUAAGCACCGGCUAACUACGUGCCAGCAGCCGCGGUAAUACGUAGGGUGCAAGCGUUAAUCGGAAUUACUGGGCGUAAAGCGUGCGCAGGCGGUUCGGAAAGAAAGAUGUGAAAUCCCAGAGCUUAACUUUGGAACUGCAUUUUUAACUACCGGGCUAGAGUGUGUCAGAGGGAGGUGGAAUUCCGCGUGUAGCAGUGAAAUGCGUAGAUAUGCGGAGGAACACCGAUGGCGAAGGCAGCCUCCUGGGAUAACACUGACGCUCAUGCACGAAAGCGUGGGGAGCAAACAGGAUUAGAUACCCUGGUAGUCCACGCCCUAAACGAUGUCAACUAGCCUGUUGGGGUCUUCGGACCUUGGUAGCGCAGCUAACGCGUGAAGUUGACCGCCUGGGGAGUACGGUC